Long non-coding RNA from Carassius carassius (crucian carp), 1260 nucleotides. RefSeq lists it as uncharacterized. The transcript has 2 exons. The record is from RefSeq and is a predicted model, not a curated record. NCBI's taxonomy places the organism in Eukaryota, Metazoa, Chordata, Actinopteri, Cypriniformes, Cyprinidae.
AAGGUUACUGGAACAAAUGCUGAUUAACUCAUUUUUGUCACAACACUGGUUAAGUUUUGCAACCGAAAAAAAAACUGUUUUUUCAUGUUGUGCAUGUUGUGUGAGCUGAUUGGUUGAUUAUUAAUAUUCUUUUGUUUGGGUCGCUGGCCAUAAUCUGUACUGUUCUUCUGUGCAGAAGACGUCUAAUGUUUGCAUGACCUCGUAAAAAUAUGUUUACAAGAGCGAUGAUCAAAUUCAUAUCUUUACUACAAUACUAAUUACAAAUUCUGUCAAAAUGUCAUUGUGAGAUCGGAGGCACAAGAAAUUUUGACAAUUAAUCUGUUUCUUUUUCUUUUUCUUUAUAAAUUAUACAUGUUAUGUUUUAAGUCAAAAUUGCUGAUUGCUGAGAACUCAAUACUGGCCUUACUUUAAAAUUGGAUUAUUGCAAAAAGAACAAUGCAAGAACAUUUAUCACCUUGUUCAUCAGUAUAUCAUAUCCGUGCCAAUUUGAGCACAUUGCUUACUUGAAGCCAACAAUAUAUAUAAAUAUAUAUCAAUCAAUCAAGUAUUUUGUUUUGCUAAUGGACCCCUAAUACUAAAGACUUUUUCCUUUUAAACAUAUGAACGAUUAGUCUUGUGUCUUGAUUAUGUAUUGAUUAUUUAUCAUUUAUUUAUAAGUGUGGUCAAUGUAACGGCAUUUUCAUUUUUUAUGUAAAAAUAUUUUUUUUAUUUGAUAUAUAUAUUAAAUUAAAUAAAAUUCAAAAAUAUUAAGUACAUAUAUAUAAUUAAAAUAUUUAAUUUUAGAACUGAGUCAAACCCAAGUGCAAUCAACGAUGUAAUUCGUAUAAAAAUGCAACAGUCUAACGAGCAGUUCAGCAAUCAGUUCAUUAUGGUAAUUAUGCAAACUGCCUCAGAAGGUCAGAUUCGAUAUCAUUAGGAGUCAUCUAUGACUUACUUUGGCUUUGAAAAGUACUAUAGGAAGUUACACCUCUGUUUUGGGUAGUUAUUUCCUCCCUUUAGUAGUAGUUAAAUCAAUUAUGACAUUUUUUUUUCACAUGGAAAUGCGCACACUUCAGAAAGUGAAGAGGAGACACGAAUACAGUAUGUGUAUUAUACAUAAACAUGAUGUAUACAUAUAUUGUAUAUCUUUUUUGUAAAAGCUACAAAUGUAUGGAUGCAAUGCAUCAUGUGUAAUCAAUGAAGUUAUGAAGAGCCAAUGAUUUAUACCCUUCAAAUAUACAGGUAGUAGCACGUUAUGAAUAAACACUCCUUGUCUAUGCA